UCAAACAUGGAGAGGAGAGAACGUUCUGCAGCCCUGUCAGUAACCCUGCACAUAGCACUUUUGCGCCUUAUCGAGCAAAGGCCAGUCGUCGAGGACAGGUCUACUAGUACUGUAACACAAUAAAUGACAGCAAAAGAAAGGCCUAGGAUGAAAUUACUGCCUCAUUAAACGCCAGCAACCAAGAUCAACUCCCUCUUACAGCCAAGCACCUCAAGAGGAGCUCCAACAUAAAAAGGAAACUAAAACCAGAGAUAUAGGAGAGCGGGUGGUGGUCCUCCAGAAAAACUAUCAUUAGCUUCAGAAGAAAUCGCCACCCAGUGCUCGUGUCAUGCGGAAGACUUCUGCAAGUGUACCUGAACUUCCUCACUCCCAUGAUCCUCUUGUUUUGCCUGUUCCAACACCAGGGCUAUCAACUGUGUCUUCUGCACCAUCUACUUCUGUUUUUCGACUUCUAAUUUCACCCUCUGUUCCUGCCUCACCAGUCAUUGUGAGAAAAGACAAGGGGAGUUCCACAAAUAUAAAUUGUACACAAUGAAAAGAGAGCAUGAGGAGGAACUGAAAGUGAAGGCCAUAAUAUCAGCACAUACACUCAAAGAAAGAUAAAGUGAAACUGUAAUUAGAGUGAUUGAAAAGACGCUUGAAAAAAUUAAUAAAUCUUUUGAAUUGUUAGAUACAUGUUUAAGGAAAGCAUCAACUGCAUAUGAUGCCAUGGCUAAAACUUAUGAAUGAUGGUUGAGUAAUAACAUACAGUCAUAUGCAAUGUUUAUGAUUUUACUCUAUACAGGGGUACUGUGAUAUAUCGUAAAGUGGCAUCUAGAUUAUAAAUUUAUUUUCUUAUGUCUUACACCUUAAAAUAAUUUUAUUUAAAGGAAAUAAAUCUACAUUUCUUUAU
Molecule: long non-coding RNA, 892 nt
Organism: Homarus americanus (American lobster)
Lineage: Eukaryota; Metazoa; Arthropoda; Malacostraca; Decapoda; Nephropidae
Exons: 2
Source: RefSeq, a predicted model, not a curated record